This 253-nucleotide ribosomal RNA is filed under the name uncultured bacterium. RNAcentral describes it as "partial 16S ribosomal RNA". It matches the Rfam family "Bacterial small subunit ribosomal RNA", at positions 524 to 776 of the family's 1533-position model. The record is from RNAcentral.
UACGUAGGGUGCGAGCGUUGUCCGGAAUUAUUGGGCGUAAAGGGCUCGUAGGCGGUUUGUCGCGUCGGGAGUGAAAUCCACUGGCUUAACUGGUGGCUUGCUUUCGAUACGGGCAGACUGGAGGUAUGCAGGGGAGAACGGAAUUCCUGGUAUAGCGGUGAAAUGCGCAGAUAUCAGGAGGAACACCGGUGGCGAAGGCGGUUCUCUGGGCAUGUCCUGACGCUGAGGAGCGAAAGUGUGGGGAGCGAACAGG